Molecule: ribosomal RNA, 650 nt
Filed under: uncultured bacterium
Lineage: Bacteria
Description: bacterial SSU rRNA
Rfam family: Bacterial small subunit ribosomal RNA
Source: RNAcentral
UAACGCGUGAGGAACCUGCCUUUCAGAGGGGGACAACAGUCGGAAACGGCUGCUAAUACCGCAUGACACAUUUGGGCGGCAUCGCCUGGAUGUCAAAGAUUUAUCGCUGAAAGAUGGCCUCGCGUCUGAUUAGCUGGUUGGCGGGGUAACGGCUCACCAAGACGAUGAUGGGUAGCCGGCCUGAGAGGGUGAACGGCCACAAGGGGACUGAGACACGGCCCUUACUCCUACGGGAGGCAGCAGUGGGGAAUAUUGGACAAUGGACCAAAAGUCUGAUCCAGCAAUUCUGUGUGCACGAUGAAGUUUUUCGGAAUGUAAAGUGCUUUCAGUUGGGAAGAAGAAAGUGACGGUACCAACAGAAGAAGCGACGGCUAAAUACGUGCCAGCAGCCGCGGUAAUACGUAUGUCGCAAGCGUUAUCCGGAUUUAUUGGGCGUAAAGCGCGUCUAGGCGGUUUGGUAAGUCUGAUGUGAAAAUGCGGGGCUCAACUCCGUAUUGCGUUGGAAACUGCCAAACUAGAGUACUGGAGAGGUAGGCGGAACUACAAGUGUAGAGGUGAAAUUCGUAGAUAUUUGUAGGAAUGCCGAUGGGGAAGCCAGCCUACUGGACAGAUACUGACGCUAAAGCGCGAAAGCGUGGGGAGCAAACAGG